RNAcentral lists this ribosomal RNA (468 nucleotides) under uncultured bacterium. RNAcentral's name for it is "partial 16S ribosomal RNA". It matches the Rfam family "Bacterial small subunit ribosomal RNA", at positions 28 to 507 of the family's 1533-position model. The record is from RNAcentral.
GACGAACGCUAGCGGCGUGCUUAACACAUGCAAGUCGAACGGAAAGGCCCUUCUUUUGUGGGGUGCUCGAGUGGCGAACGGGUGAGUAACACGUGAGUAACCUGCCCUUGACUUUGGUAUAACUUCAGGAAACUGGGGCUAAUACCGGAUAGGAGCUCCUGCUGCAUGGUGGGGGUUGGAAAGUUUCGGCGGUUGGGGAUGGACUCGCGGCUUAUCAGCUUGUUGGUGGGGUAGUGGCUUACCAAGGCCUUGACGGGUAGCCGGCCUGAGAGGGUGACCGGCGCCACUGGGACUGAGAUAAGGCCCCGAGUCGUACGGGAGGCAGCGGUGGGGAAUAUUGCACAAUGGGCGGAAGCCUGAUGCAGCCACGCCGCGUGCGGGAUGAAGGCCUUCGGGUCGUAAACCGCUUUCGCCUGUGACGAAGCGUGAGUGACGGUAAUGGGUAAAGAAGCACCGGCUAACUAGGUG